This 4615-nucleotide long non-coding RNA is filed under the name Calidris pugnax (ruff). RNAcentral describes it as "lncRNA (ENSCPUG00000000651.1)". Lineage: Eukaryota; Metazoa; Chordata; Aves; Charadriiformes; Scolopacidae. The record is from RNAcentral.
AUGGGCAGGUGGCUGCAGGAGUGGGGGGACAUGCCCAAGGUCAGGCUGGAUGGGGCUUGGAGCAACCUGGGCUGGUGGGAGGUGUCCCUGCCCAGAGCAGGGGGGUUGGGACUCGAUAUCUUUAAGGUCCCUUCCAACCCAAACCAUUCUAGGAUUCUAUGCCUGGAGGAGGGGGUGCCCAGGACACAGACUCACCACUGGCCCAGCCAUGCUGCAGGGGACAGAUGGGGGAGGAUUUUGCCUCCAGGUUGUUUGCCAGGAACAAAAAAAACUGCUUCAGCUUCUGUCCUGUCCAUGCAAGCAGGCUGGGCCUUCCCACCAGUACCCAGGGCUGCCGAGCUGACUGGAAGGGACAAACACCCCCCACCUCCAGGCCAAGCACUCCACCCAGGAACACGGCAAACCCAGGGCAGAACCUGCCAAGAGACCAGUGGGAAGUGUCUGUUCUCUGGGAGCAGCAGCACAAAAUGUAGCCGUGAGGUGGAAAAACAGCUUAAAAUAACUGUGAUCCAGGUGACCAUGGGAGAGCAUCAGGAAGGUCCAGCAGAUGAGCGUGGAGGACAAGCAAGCCAGACCUGGCACUAGAGAGAGCCAUGACUUCCAAAAGAGCUGUGGCUGUUUCAAAGGGACCAGCCAAAUGGGGAGCGGUGGUGCUGGGAUUCCCAUCUCCUUGGGGAUCAGAAGUUAGUCAUAACAAUGGCUAUGCAGGAGGCCUUGCAAGCAUGGAAGCAACCCUGGCUGGAGUGCACAGGUGCCCAUGUCACAGAAUCACAGAAUCUUCUAGGUUGGAAGGGACCUUAAAGAUCAUCUUGUCCAACCAUCAACCUAACUGACAAAAAAUAGACACCCCCACAACAAACAAGAAGCAUCACCAUCACUAAACCAUACCUCCCAGCACCACAUCAACCUGUCUUUUGAACACCUCCAGGGAUGGUGCCUCAACCACUUCCCUGGGCAGCCUAUUCCCUGCAGCCGUGGUUAGAAGGGCAGAAACCCCAUGGAGAAAACAUCCCUUUAACUUAGGAAUGAGGUGAGUGGAGCACAGACCUACUGUGGGAGCAGGCUCAUCCUAGGUAUGCAGUGGGGGAUUGGUGAUAGGAUCGACACACACAUGUCUAUACACUACCUUGGUUGUAGAAUCCUAGAAUUACAGAAUCAUAGAACACCAGCCUGGAAGGGACCUCAAGGAUCAACUGGUCUGAACUUUCUUGGCCAAAAGCACGGUCUACACAAGCUGACCCAGCACCCUGUCCAGCUGAAUCUUCAAAGUGUCCAAUGUUGGGGAAUCCACUGCUUGCCUGGGGAGAUUAUGCCAAUGGCUGAUUGUUCUCAUGGUGAAAAAUUUGCCUCUUGUGUCCAAUUGGAAUGUCCCCAGGAGUAAGUUGUACCCACUACCCCUCAUCUUUUAUAGUCCCAUGUACCUGUCCCAUAGGGCACAGGGGGAAUGAGGAAUGUCAGUCAGUGGAGACACGGGAAAGAGACAAGAGAUUGUGCCUUGUUUUUCCAGGAUUCAAAUCUGCUGGCAGGUUCUUUUCCUGGAAGGACUCUGUUUUCCUGAAGACCAUUUAAAUCACUGGUGGUGAGGCUACAACACUUGGACCAUGCGAAGUAGCUCACAUUUUGGUGGCAGAGCAGGCUGGGCAGGGAGCCUCAGCCCAGGCUUGGGGGGCUGCCAGCUCUCCUGGCCCUGGAGCUCGACGCCUGGCCUGGGCUGCCUGGCUCACACAGACGCUGCAGACAUCUCCUCGGUCUGUUUGUUGGGGUUUUUUUAGGUCUUUCACAUACUCCUCAUGCACAAGUGUGUUUUACCACUUCCUUGAUGUCCGUUGCUUUGCCUUAUGAUAUCCUAAGUCAGAUUUCUGCCACUGGCAGUAACUGGUCAGAUCACUGAGAAGUCACCAGCUCUGCUUAGUUGUGUCUGUGGCAUCGUUUUGAUGACUUUGCUCUGAUGCUUGUUACCGAUGGUGAGGACGGUUGUGGUUCUCUUUUUUCUUGGAAAAGUGGGGUGCAGCCUAUCCUGGCCUCCCCACUUGUGCUGUUCUAGCACUGCCAUACAUAUGUGGUCUAACAGUGGAGUUAGGAGUGUCACAGUCUCCUCCAGAAGAAGAAAUGCAAGAAUGUCUUCUGGGACUGCUGAUGGCUAUGGGUGAAGACCCUGGGACUGAAUCUCUUUGUGUCUCAAUAGGUUGGGGUGUUCUGGAAUCUUCCUACAGAGAGGGAAGGAGACUGCAUGAAACGGGUGGGACCUGAGCCAGUUGCUGGUGUGAUUGAGCUGAAUGAGCACAAGGUUGGUGCUGGUCUCUUCUCACAGGUAAUUAAUGACAGAAUGAGAGGGAACGGCUUCAAGCUCCAACAGGGUAGGUUUAGACUGAACAUUAGGAAGGAAUUUUUCACAGAAAGAGUGGUCAGGCAUUGGAAUAGGCUGCCCAGGGAGGUGGUUGAGUCACCAUCCCUGGAGGUGUUUAAGGGACAUUUAGAUGGGGUACUGAGGGAUAUGGUGUAGGGGAGGACUUUGUAGAGUAGGGUAGAUGGUUGGACUCCAUGAUCCCAAGGGUCUCUUCCAACCUGAAUGAUUCUAUGAUAGUAAAUGCUUCUGUCCCACAGAACAAGGACAAGCCUCCAGCUCACUGGAAGCCUGCUUCUUUCAGAGGAGCAAAGGGUGGCUGAGACCUUGGGAUCCACUUCAGCAUGAAUCACAGAAUUGUAGAGGUUGGAAGGGACCUUCAGAGAUCAACUAGUCCAACCCCCCAGCCAAAGCAGGGUCACCCAGAGCAGGCUGGACAGGAACGUGUCCAGGCAGGUUUUGAAGUCCUCCUAUUGAGAUGGAAUUUCCUGUGUUCCAGUUUGUGCCUGUUGUCCCUUGUCCUGUCACUGGGCACCACUGAAAAGAGUCCGGCCCCAUCCUCUUGAAACCCACCCUUUAGAUAUUUAUAAGGAUUGAUGAGGCCCCCUCUCAGUCUUCUCCAGGCUGAACAGACUCAGGUCUCUCAGCCUUUCCUCAUAAGAGAGGUGCUCCAUUCCCUUGAUCAUCUUCGUAGCCCUCUGGUGUCCCCUCUACAGCAGUUCCCUGUCCUUUUUGAACUGGGGAGCCCAGAACUGGACACAAUGCUCCUGUUUUGGCCUCACCAGGCAGAGUAGAGGGGGAAGACGACCUUUCUCAACCUGCUGGCCACUCUCUUUUUAAUACAACCGAGGAGACCAUUGGCCUUCUUGGCCACAAGGGCACAUUGCUGGCUCUACCAGCUCAGGGGGUGCUCCUGUGUUCCAGACAGCAGCAGCAGGACCCCCAUCCCAGGGGGCUGGCAUGCAAAUGCAACUCCCUUGCAAGCCCCUUGAGCCUCUGACCCAGCUUUCAGUGAGUGACUUGGCAAACAAACCUGUACAGCCCUCCCCGUGAGAGGGAGAGCUGCAGCGUGGCCAUGUCCUGGAGAAGGAGCCAUCUCCCAACAGAGCAGAAGGAAGUCCUUGAAAGACCCAGACCCAAAUCCCCCAAAUUUCUCCUCUCCUCUCCUCUCCUCUCCUCUCCUGCAGGAAGCUGGAGACAAGCUGAACACCAGCAUGUCAGACCUGAAAGGAGAUGGCAAGCUGGAAGUGAGCACAAACUGGGCUGCAUUCAGCCUUAGUUCCUGUGUUCCAGUUUGUGCCUGUUGUCCCUUGUCCUGUCACUGGGCACCACUGAAAAGAGUCCGGCCCCAUCCUCUUGAAACCCACCCUUUAGAUAUUUAUAAGGAUUGAUGAGGCCCCCUCUCAGUCUUCUCCAGGCUGAACAGACUCAGGUCUCUCAGCCUUUCCUCAUAAGAGAGGUGCUCCAUUCCCUUGAUCAUCUUCGUAGCCCUCUGGUGUCCCCUCUACAGCAGUUCCCUGUCCUUUUUGAACUGGGGAGCCCAGAACUGGACACAAUGCUCCUGUUUUGGCCUCACCAGGCAGAGUAGAGGGGGAAGACGACCUUUCUCAACCUGCUGGCCACUCUCUUUUUAAUACAACCGAGGAGACCAUUGGCCUUCUUGGCCACAAGGGCACAUUGCUGGCUCUACCAGCUCAGGGGGUGCUCCUGUGUUCCAGACAGCAGCAGCAGGACCCCCAUCCCAGGGGGCUGGCAUGCAAAUGCAACUCCCUUGCAAGCCCCUUGAGCCUCUGACCCAGCUUUCAGUGAGUGACUUGGCAAACAAACCUGUACAGCCCUCCCCGUGAGAGGGAGAGCUGCAGCGUGGCCAUGUCCUGGAGAAGGAGCCAUCUCCCAACAGAGCAGAAGGAAGUCCUUGAAAGACCCAGACCCAAAUCCCCCAAUUGUUCCUCAUCUCCAAUCUGAACCUCCCCUGGUGCAACUUGAGGCCGUUUCCUCUUGUCCCAUGGCCUGUGACUUGGGAGCAGAGACCGACCCCCCCUGGCUACACCCUCCUUUCAGGGAGUUGGAGAGAGCCAGAAGGUCUCCCCUCAGCCUCCUUUUCUCCAGGCUGAACCCCCCCAGCUCCCUCAGCCUCUCCUCAUCAGACUUCUUCUCCAGACCCCUCCCCAGCUCCGUUGCCCUUCUCUGGACCCGCUCCAGCCCCUCAAUGUCUUUUUUUGUGGUAAGAAACCUUGAUGCCUGAGUAAUAAAUGGAUCUCUGUUGGGGCA